Molecule: transfer RNA, 85 nt
Filed under: Phycisphaeraceae bacterium
Lineage: Bacteria; Pseudomonadati; Planctomycetota; Phycisphaerae; Phycisphaerales; Phycisphaeraceae
Also listed under: 1 other name
Description: tRNA-Leu
Rfam family: tRNA
About the family: Transfer RNA (tRNA) molecules are approximately 80 nucleotides in length.
Source: RNAcentral
GCCGGAGUGGCGGAAUUGGCAGACGCAACGGAUUCAAAAUCCGUCGCCCCUUAAAGGCGUGUGGGUUCAAGUCCCUCCUCCGGCA